AUGGCAACUACAUUCGCGGCACCAAUUCUCUGCAACUUGAGAGCGAACCCACGCCUGAACCACAGCACCAGACAACAGCCACGGCACUUGCACCUGAGCUCGGCGAGAAUGGCGCCAACGCUGACAGGCUCAAGAGCACGGAGCGACUUCCGCGCGGCGGCCGUGUACAAGGUGAAGCUGAUCGGGCCGGAGGGGAAGGAGAGCGUGAUCGAGGUGGCGGAGGACAGCUACAUCCUGGACGCGGCGGAGGAGGCCGGCGUGGAGCUGCCCUACUCGUGCCGCGCCGGCGCGUGCUCCACCUGCGCCGGCAAGGUCCUGGAGGGCGGCGUGGACCAGUCGGACCAGUCAUUCCUCGACGACGCGCAGGUCAGCGCCGGCUACGCGCUCACCUGCGUCGCUUACCCCACCUCCGACCUCGUCAUCCAGACGCACAAGGAGUCCGACCUCUACUAG
Molecule: ribosomal RNA, 453 nt
Filed under: Triticum aestivum (bread wheat)
Lineage: Eukaryota; Viridiplantae; Streptophyta; Magnoliopsida; Poales; Poaceae
Description: partial small subunit ribosomal RNA
Source: RNAcentral